CAGACUGUACUUUUAGGGAUCAUUUCUAUCAUUUUCUUUUACCAGAGAAAUGGGUUUCUACAAUGUUUGGUCUCAUAAACCAUAAGGAGAAUUUAUGGUGUUCAGUUCUGAUAUUCAAGUUGACAUGAAGGUUGCUUUUAGCAACUAUAGUUCUCUAUUGAUGAGUGUUUGUUCUCUCUUACAUGGAGAGUUGGAGGAAGACAAUGCAAAUG
Chiloscyllium plagiosum (whitespotted bambooshark) is the source of this 212-nucleotide small nucleolar RNA. RefSeq annotates it as small nucleolar RNA U3. NCBI's taxonomy places the organism in Eukaryota, Metazoa, Chordata, Chondrichthyes, Orectolobiformes, Hemiscylliidae. The record is from RefSeq and is a predicted model, not a curated record.